Molecule: ribosomal RNA, 399 nt
Filed under: Triticum aestivum (bread wheat)
Lineage: Eukaryota; Viridiplantae; Streptophyta; Magnoliopsida; Poales; Poaceae
Description: partial small subunit ribosomal RNA
Source: RNAcentral
AACUCCGACGUAAGACUGAACCUAUAGUACUAAACCACCAUGUUUGUACUAAGUACAGCUAGUUAUCUCAUAAAUAGAAACCUACAGCCGUAACAAGGGCGAUGGGAAGUGUUUCGUCUACUACAACAAACCACCUUAGAUGAAUGCGUCCCCAACAAAGUGACCGAUCCUAACGUUUGAUAGUUAGAUCAAACAUAAAACACGACGGGGAUAGACGAUGUCGUAUGGGUUUUGUCAAUAACCAAAUGACGACUUACCCGCUACCCAGAUAUCAAGUACAUCCAGGUCCAUACUCCAUUACGCUUGAACACGAUAGCCAUAACUAACUAACAACGGUCUACCCCGUGGAACGAUACUCCAUUACGUUUGAACACUAUAGAAAGAUCCCUGGCAACCAAA